AGAGUUUGAUCAUGGCUCAGGAUGAACGCUGGCGGCGUGCCUAACACAUGCAAGUCGAGCGAUUCUCUUCGGAGAAGAGCGGCGGACGGGUGAGUAACGCGUGGGUAACCUGCCCUGUACACACGGAUAACAUACCGAAAGGUAUGCUAAUACGAGAUAAUAUACUUUUAUCGCAUGGUAGAAGUAUCAAAGCUUUUGCGGUACAGGAUGGACCCGCGUCUGAUUAGCUAGUUGGUAAGGUAACGGCUUACCAAGGCGACGAUCAGUAGCCGACCUGAGAGGGUGAUCGGCCACAUUGGAACUGAGACACGGUCCAAACUCCUACGGGAGGCAGCAGUGGGGAAUAUUGCACAAUGGGCGAAAGCCUGAUGCAGCAACGCCGCGUGAGCGAUGAAGGCCUUCGGGUCGUAAAGCUCUGUCCUCAAGGAAGAUAAUGACGGUACUUGAGGAGGAAGCCCCGGCUAACUACGUGCCAGCAGCCGCGGUAAUACGUAGGGGGCUAGCGUUAUCCGGAAUUACUGGGCGUAAAGGGUGCGUAGGUGGUUUCUUAAGUCAGAGGUGAAAGGCUACGGCUCAACCGUAGUAAGCCUUUGAAACUGGGAAACUUGAGUGCAGGAGAGGAGAGUGGAAUUCCUAGUGUAGCGGUGAAAUGCGUAGAUAUUAGGAGGAACACCAGUUGCGAAGGCGGCUCUCUGGACUGUAACUGACACUGAGGCACGAAAGCGUGGGGAGCAACAGGAUUAGAUACCCUGGUAGUCCACGCCGUAAACGAUGAGUACUAGCUGUCGGAGGUUACCCCCUUCGGUGGCGCAGCUAACGCAUUAAGUACUCCGCCUGGGAAGUACGCUCGCAAGAGUGAAACUCAAAGGAAUUGACGGGGACCCGCACAAGUAGCGGAGCAUGUGGUUUAAUUCGAAGCAACGCGAAGAACCUUACCUAAGCUUGACAUCCUUUUGACCGAUGCCUAAUCGCAUCUUUCCCUUCGGGGACAGAAGUGACAGGUGGUGCAUGGUUGUCGUCAGCUCGUGUCGUGAGAUGUUGGGUUAAGUCCCGCAACGAGCGCAACCCUUGCCUUUAGUUGCCAGCAUUAAGUUGGGCACUCUAGAGGGACUGCCAGGGAUAACCUGGAGGAAGGUGGGGAUGACGUCAAAUCAUCAUGCCCCUUAUGCUUAGGGCUACACACGUGCUACAAUGGGUGGUACAGAGGGCAGCCAAGUCGUGAGGCGGAGCUAAUCCCUUAAAGCCAUUCUCAGUUCGGAUUGUAGGCUGAAACUCGCCUACAUGAAGCUGGAGUUACUAGUAAUCGCAGAUCAGAAUGCUGCGGUGAAUGCGUUCCCGGGUCUUGUACACACCGCCCGUCACACCACGGGAGUUGGGGGCGCCCGAAGCCGGAUUGCUAACCUUUUGGAAGCGUCCGUCGAAGGUGAAAUCAAUAACUGGGGUGAAGUCGUAACAAGGUA
Molecule: ribosomal RNA, 1460 nt
Filed under: metagenome
Description: bacterial SSU rRNA
Rfam family: Bacterial small subunit ribosomal RNA
Source: RNAcentral